UACGUAGGGGGCAAGCGUUGUCCGGAUUUAUUGGGCGUAAAGAGCGUGUAGGCGGCCAGGUAGGUCAGCUGUGAAAACUCGAGGCUCAACCUCGAGACGUCGGUUGAAACCAUCUGGCUAGAGUCCGGAAGGGGAGAGUGGAAUUCCUGGUGUAGCGGUGAAAUGCGCAGAUAUCAGGAAGAACACCAGUGGCGAAGGCGGCUCUCUGGAACGGUGCUGACGCUGAGACGCGAAAGCGUGGGGAGCGAACCGG
RNAcentral lists this ribosomal RNA (253 nucleotides) under uncultured bacterium. RNAcentral's name for it is "partial 16S ribosomal RNA". It matches the Rfam family "Bacterial small subunit ribosomal RNA", at positions 524 to 776 of the family's 1533-position model. The record is from RNAcentral.